UUAAUACCCCCUCCUUCCCGAAUUACCUGUCGCAGAAAUAAUGUAUCUAGACAUAUUAUUAGUUCUAGAUACAUCCCUCUCUAUCCGUUUUUGCGGCAAGUAAUUCAGGACGGAGGGAGUACUAA
This is a non-coding RNA of Hordeum vulgare subsp. vulgare (domesticated barley), 125 nucleotides long. NCBI's taxonomy places the organism in Eukaryota, Viridiplantae, Streptophyta, Magnoliopsida, Poales, Poaceae. The record is from Rfam.